UUUUAGAUUGGAGGCUUUGAUCUAUCAUUUUCAAUUGGUCACCUAUUAAGUGAUAGUUAGCUAGGGUGAAACCGGCCAGUUAAAAG
Molecule: non-coding RNA, 86 nt
Filed under: Halanaerobium kushneri
Lineage: Bacteria; Bacillati; Bacillota; Clostridia; Halanaerobiales; Halanaerobiaceae
Description: c-di-GMP-II sequence
Rfam family: Cyclic di-GMP-II riboswitch aptamer
Source: RNAcentral